GGAGUUUGGGCCGUGUCUCAGUCCCAAUGUGGCCGGUCACCCUCUCAGGUCGGCUACUGAUCGUUGCCUUGGUGGGCCGUUACCCCGCCAACUAGCUAAUCAGACGCGGGUCCAUCUCAUACCACCGGAGUUUUUCACACGGUACCAUGCGAUACUGUGCGCUUAUGCGGUAUUAGCAGUCAUUUCUAACUGUUAUCCCCCUGUAUGAGGCAGGUUACCCACGCGUUACUCACCCGUCCGCCACUCAGUCACAAAUCAAUCACCCCGAAGGGAUCUAUCAAAGUGCUUCGUUCGACUUGCAUGUGUUAGGCACGCCGCCAGCGUUCAUC
RNAcentral lists this ribosomal RNA (329 nucleotides) under uncultured Lachnospiraceae bacterium. Its description in RNAcentral is "partial 16S ribosomal RNA". Lineage: Bacteria; Bacillati; Bacillota; Clostridia; Lachnospirales; Lachnospiraceae. The record is from RNAcentral.